CUGUUGUCAAGUCAUUAUGGAUUGUACAUUACUGGUUCACUCAUAAGGUGUUUGCAUCUGAAAUGAACACAUGUAUUCUAAAACCAGAUGAAACGGGUUAUGUUCUUCCAAUAUAUGGUAUACUGGUAAGAUAUUCAACCCCUAACGAAAGGGAUUGUGCUUGAUUUUCAUAUGAUGAAAACAUUACAUUUCGAUUAGUUAAAUUGCGCUCUGAAGCUUGCAUGUCAGUAACUGCUAGUAGUCCUUUCUAAAUGUAUGUAUCAUUGUCAUUUGGCUUAGUUUCUUUUGUUACAUAUCUUGACAUUGGACACUAACUUCUUUUAAACUGAGUUUUACUAUGAACAUUGCUAUGUUUUUCUUUGUUCUACAUUACUUAAAAGUAUGAGGGGGUUAACAUCUCACACUUUAAUCAUGAAUAAUUCCAACCAGGUGAUAAACGUCAAUUAAGCUUAAUUAAGAAAUAAUUCAAGCCCCCAUGAAUUAUUUCGAUUCUAAUAGGACAAAUACAGCAAUUCUUUUGGAUCGAAUCGCUCUAGGUAGAGGCAAAUGUUUGCCCUUCCCGUAAAUUAACGCACUAUUAAAUUG
RNAcentral lists this long non-coding RNA (585 nucleotides) under Mytilus galloprovincialis (Mediterranean mussel). The record is from RNAcentral. Lineage: Eukaryota; Metazoa; Mollusca; Bivalvia; Mytilida; Mytilidae.